Molecule: ribosomal RNA, 911 nt
Filed under: uncultured bacterium
Lineage: Bacteria
Description: bacterial SSU rRNA
Rfam family: Bacterial small subunit ribosomal RNA
Source: RNAcentral
AGAGUUUGAUCAUGGCUCAGAUUGAACGCUGGCGGAAUGCUUUACACAUGCAAGUCGAACGGCAGCACGGGGGCAACCCUGGUGGCGAGUGGCGAACGGGUGAGUAAUACAUCGGAACGUGCCCAGUCGUGGGGGAUAACUACGCGAAAGCGUAGCUAAUACCGCAUACGAACUCUGGUUGAAAGCGGGGGAUCGCAAGACCUCGCGCGAUUGGAGCGGCCGAUGGCAGAUUAGGUAGUUGGUGGGGUGAAGGCUCACCAAGCCGACGAUCUGUAGCUGGUCUGAGAGGACGACCAGCCACACUGGGACUGAGACACGGCCCAGACUCCUACGGGAGGCAGCAGUGGGGAAUUUUGGACAAUGGGCGCAAGCCUGAUCCAGCCAUUCCGCGUGCAGGAUGAAGGCCCUCGGGUUGUAAACUGCUUUUGUACGGAACGAAACGCGCUGAGUUAAUACCUCGGCGUAAUGACGGUACCGUAAGAAUAAGCACCGGCUAACUACGUGCCAGCAGCCGCGGUAAUACGUAGGGUGCAAGCGUUAAUCGGAAUUACUGGGCGUAAAGCGUGCGCAGGCGGUUAUGUAAGACAGGUGUGAAAUCCCAGGGCUUAACCUUGGAACUGCAUUUGUGACUGCAUAGCUAGAGUACGGUAGAGGGGGAUGGAAUUCCGCGUGUAGCAGUGAAAUGCGUAGAUAUGCGGAGGAACACCGAUGGCGAAGGCAAUCCCCUGGACCUGUACUGACGCUCAUGCACGAAAGCGUGGGGAGCAACAGGAUUAGAUACCCUGGUAGUCCACGCCCUAAACGAUGUCAACUGGUUGUUGGGUCUUCACUGACUCAGUAACGAAGCUAACGCGUGAAGUUGACCGCCUGGGGAGUACGGCCGCAAGGUUGAAACUCAAAUGAAUUGACGG